AGUGAACGCUGGCGGUAGGCCUAACACAUGCAAGUCGAACGGCAGCACAGUAAGAGCUUGCUCUUACGGGUGGCGAGUGGCGGACGGGUGAGGAAUACAUCGGAAUCUACUUUUUCGUGGGGGAUAACGUAGGGAAACUUACGCUAAUACCGCAUACGACCUACGGGUGAAAGCAUGGGAUCUUCGGACCUUGCGCGAUUGAAUGAGCCGAUGUCGGAUUAGCUAGUUGGCGGGGUAAAGGCCCACCAAGGCGACGAUCCGUAGCUGGUCUGAGAGGAUGAUCAGCCACACUGGAACUGAGACACGGUCCAGACUCCUACGGGAGGGAGCAGUGGGGAAUAUUGGACAAUGGGCGCAAGCAUGAUACAGCCAUCCCGCGUGGGUGAAGAAGGCCUUCGGGUUGUAAAGCCCUUUUGUUGGGAAAGAAAAGCAGCAGGUUAAUACCCAGCUGUUCUGACGGUACCCAAAGAAUAAGCACCGGCUAACUUCGUG
Molecule: ribosomal RNA, 492 nt
Filed under: uncultured bacterium
Lineage: Bacteria
Description: partial 16S ribosomal RNA
Rfam family: Bacterial small subunit ribosomal RNA
Source: RNAcentral